Molecule: long non-coding RNA, 2338 nt
Organism: Thalassophryne amazonica
Lineage: Eukaryota; Metazoa; Chordata; Actinopteri; Batrachoidiformes; Batrachoididae
Exons: 4
Source: RefSeq, a predicted model, not a curated record
ACUCCACAAGUAAUUUCCCGAAGUAAAGAGUCAGUGUUAUUGAACUGAACAUAUUGAAAUCUUCCCUGAAAAUAACUUUUUAUCCAGUCAUAUGCAAUACGUCUGAUCCCAUAUUUUUGUAAUUUAGUUAGUAAUAUUGCAAUGCUUUCUGUAGAUCAAAGAAAAUGCCAGCUGUAUAUUGUUUUCUAUCAAUUGCCAUCGCUAUACUUUCAACAAAAUCCAUCAAUGCCAGUGAUGUAGUCUGACAUUUUCUGAAUCCAUAUUGCUCAUCACAAAGUAUCUCAUGCUUUAAUAAAUAGUCAUGCAAUCUCUUAGCAAAUAUUUUUUCUUGAAAUUUGGAAAAUUGUGGUAGGAGUGAAAUAGAUGUAUUUCACUCCUACCUGAGAUAGGGGCCUGAGAUGGACCAUGGACAAUUGCUCAGUCCCACUUUUAUACCCAAUUUACACCUAGCCUAGACAAGGUGGGUUUAUUCCUGGUUUAGACCAUAAUAAACUUUAUACCUGGUGUAGAACUUAGUUGUCCUGGUACACCUCCUCUCUCCAGUAGGGAACAAGCCACUUUCAGACGAGCCCAAGCAAUGGCUUGCUGCUGGGUUUCAGUGUUCGCCAAAUGCACUUUGCUGAGGUAGGCUUUAGCAAACUGCAAAAGAGACAUUCUGCAUAUUUAGAUAUGACUACAGCCUAUUACAAAAAUGGUCUCAUGAAACAUACAAAAGAUCAUUACCAUUAAUACUAAAAUCCCACAGCUGUUCCCAUCCUCCUGUUUCUUGUGCUCAAACAUUCUGGCAGCCCACCUGUCUGUAUCACCACAGCCAGCCCUUCUCAAAAAAAUCCUAAUGGUUGUUAAAACAGCAACAAAAGGAUGAGGCAAAUUCUUUUGAUAUAAAAACCAGGCUGAGGUCAACCAAAACAAGUGAUUAUUAAAAACGUGACCUCCAGUUUAGCAGAAUCUUGCGCUCAUAAAUAGCCUCGUUUGCAAGGGGAUCAAUCAACACAAUCUGUUUCUUUGAAUGAUUUACAAUCUAAAAUGUAUAUUAAUUUGAGGGAAGCGCCGUGCAGCAGCCGUGAAACUUGCUCAUGGUACAUUGAGUCCCAAACAGGAAGUGCCAAAUUUUGAGUCCACUGUGAUGCCAAAUUUUGAGUCCACAGUGAAAUGGUAAAUAUAAAAUGUUGAACACUUCCCACGAGACGAGAUCUCACGGGAGUUGAGUGCCAAGUUGGGACUGAAAUGGGAAAUGCCAAAUUUUGAGUCCCCGGUGAAACAGGAAAUGUCAAAUGUUGAACACUUACGAGCAUGGGUGGCGCUAGAGGGGAGUCCAGGGUUGCACUGGACUCUUCUGAAAUCUGAUUGGACACAAAUGAUUGAUAUGUCACGGCACUGCAUAUCUGGUUGAAAAGAGCUGCAUUUUGAAAUCAGUGACACAUUGACUGCUAAGUUCUUCCUGUACAGUAGUGAGCACUGUGUACCACAAAAGUUCUAAUCCACUUUAGUAGAAGAAGAAAAAUGUUUUCCUCAGAUUUGAGCUGAACACGUCGUCUGAACACGUCGUUUGAACCAUGGACUGAUAAUGACACCAAAGUUAUAUUGUGAUUUUAAAGAAGCAGGCAGCUGUUGAUUCAUGAGAUAUAACGUGAAGACGCUCACGCUGAAAGAAAUACAGACAUUUCCCCCAUACUGUUUACAGGCCAGUGACAGUAGCUCAGUGGUAAAGUUUCGGGCUGACAAUGAGUAAAGUGCAGAUACCUACAUAAGUGCCAUUCAUCCUGUCGUUGCCAAAUAACAUGAGGAGGACAUUGCCAAGAAGUCUCAAACUCCAUCUAGAGCAGCUGAAGCUUCUGUGAAAUCACAGAUUUAUUUGGCAGGCAGGAAGGAGUAUAAUUGCAAUGAUUCUUGGGGAUCAGCAGCUAAGCAUUUGACAAAUAUGUAAAGAUUGACAUCUUUGGAAAAAGAAGAUGGAUCUCAUAGGAAUGGGAAUACAAGAAGUAAGGAAUGUGAGAAGACCCUACAUUCAUUUGGUAUGGAGUAUAUAUUGCAUUUGUAUCUGGAAUUUGAAAGCUGUGGACAUUAAACUAUUAAAUAAAAAAUUAUAUGAAGUAUAUUUCUGAAAGACAAGUCCAAGGAAUCAAAGAAGUCGGACAUGAAGCGGCUGUGAAUCAAAGAUAUUACAAAAAUGAUGAAAUGAAUGUAAAGCCAAAAACCCUCCCCAUUAUCUUUAAAAUUCAGUUAACUGAAGGCUGAAAAACCAAAGGUGUGCAGCCAUUACUCUGCUCUCUGCUCUCUUCCACAGCAUGUCUUUUUCCUGGUUCUCUCCCUCAGCCCCAACCAGUCCCAGCAGAAG